Molecule: transfer RNA, 53 nt
Filed under: Emoia atrocostata (littoral whiptail-skink)
Lineage: Eukaryota; Metazoa; Chordata; Lepidosauria; Squamata; Scincidae
Description: partial tRNA-Glx
Source: RNAcentral
GUACGUAGGAUUUUGAGUUCUAUAGUACAGGUUCGUACCCUGUUUUUUUAGUG